Molecule: ribosomal RNA, 253 nt
Filed under: uncultured bacterium
Lineage: Bacteria
Description: partial 16S ribosomal RNA
Rfam family: Bacterial small subunit ribosomal RNA
Source: RNAcentral
UACGUAGGGACCAAGCGUUGUUCGGAUUUACUGGGCGUAAAGGGCGCGUAGGCGGCGCGGUAAAUCACUUGUGAAAUCUCUGAGCUUAACUCAGAACGGCCAAGUGAUACUGCAGUGCUAGAGUGUGGAAGGGGCAAUCGGAAUUCUUGGUGUAGCGGUGAAAUGCGUAGAUAUCAAGAGGAACACCUGAGGUGAAGACGGGUUGCUGGGCCAACACUGACGCUGAUGCGCGAAAGCCAGGGGAGCAAACGGG